Molecule: long non-coding RNA, 862 nt
Organism: Dromiciops gliroides (monito del monte)
Lineage: Eukaryota; Metazoa; Chordata; Mammalia; Microbiotheria; Microbiotheriidae
Exons: 5
Source: RefSeq, a predicted model, not a curated record
GCCCUAUCCAAUGGAAUCCUGCCAUUUCAAACUCACUGCCUUGGCUUUCUAUAAGUUGUUUUAACUUUCACUUUAGGGAGGACAUGGAAUCUACUCACAAAGUAGGAGACCCUCCCUAAGUGCCAAGGUGAAGAAGAGAAGAUUACAAUGGAUCCCCUGCCAGCAAGUAUGAUAAGGAACAUCACCAGUCUAUGGAUAAUAUCAUAUUUAUAUUCUACAUAUUUAUUAUUUUUCUACAGAGAACGUUAUCAUCAAUGGCCCUUUCUCUGGCAGCUGAAUGGGAUCUUGACAGUGACUUUUUCAGUGGAAGUGGGUGUUUGUAUUUCUUACCUGUGGGCACAGCACAGUUGCAAAGGGUUUAUUUCCAAAGAAGAUUGGAUGAACUGGAUUGUUUGGGACCUCAUUUUGAUCUUCUUCUCAGUCUUUGGAAUAUUAAUUUUCUACAGUGGAUUUCAAUAUUUGUUCUCCAUUAUUAUUCUACUGAUGUUUUCAAUGAAUUUCACCAAUAUUGAGAACAUAAUUUUUCUGCUGCCUGUACUAAGGUUAACUUUAUCCCGGAUUCUGAGUCUCAUCAUAUGCAAGUGAUUCAGGAUAGGUGUGGUUUUCCCAUAACCAUGGUACAUCAAGACCAUCGCUGACAUGAGGCAUCAAAUGGCUCCUCAACUCUGUCCUGAUUGAUCCCUUCUAGUCUGGAGUUCUAUGAGGAUCAUCUGAGUCACAGAUUUGAUUUUUUUAUCACCUUUACUCAUUACUGUCAUGGGUGAGAGGUAGUGAUUCUUAGGUAUUUCUCAAUAAAGAACUACACUCUCACACACAAUCCAUUUAGAAUUAAAUAGUCUUAUUUGGCAUUAGUAAGGUGACU